AUCACCAAGAGUGAGAUCAUGACCUGAGCCAAAGUCAGAUGCUUAACUGACUGAGCCAUCCAGGUGCCCCUGUAAUUUCAUAAUUUAAAUACUAGGGGAAAUGUUGUAAAAUGUGUUCUAGUUAUUUAAGUAAAUGGAAGUAGUUUUGUGUGGUUUUACAGUCAUGGGGGGAGAUAAUGACAUUUUGGACUAGGGAAGUAAUGGGAUAGAGAUGAGGAGGAAUCUAUAAUGACUGCCUGGUUCCUCACUUGGUUGUAGAGUACAACAGUGGUAUAAUUAACCAGCAUAGAGGCAAAUGGAGGAAGGCUGGGGAUUUUGGUUUAUGUGUAUGUGUGUAUAAGGGCGUGGAAUAGAAAACUGGGAAAGGGGAAGGAGGUAAGACGUUCAGUGAAGACAUAUUUAAUAUGGAAGACUGUCACUGGGAUAUCCAUAUAGAGAAGUUCAGUAGGGAGCUCAGCAUGUGCAUCUGAAGCUUAAGAGAAAGGCUGGGGCUAGAAGUGGAGUCACUAAGAAGUGACCACUCAGAAGUGGAUGUUGAAAUUUGGGAGGAACUGGAUGCCAUUCCUCAUAGAGACUGAAUAUAGUGAGAGGAAAUGAGAACUAACAUUAUUAGGUGGGCAGAGUAAGAGAAGGCAGCAAAAAAAAUAUAUUAAGAAUAACUAGCAGAAGGAUGGAAGGGGACACCAACGGAGCUCAAUGUUCUAGAAGCCAAUGGGAGAGAGGAUUCAGGAAAAAAGGAGUUAUGAUUAUCAGAAUAUAAAGACAGGUCAAGUAAAUUGAAACAGAUCAUGGGAUUUGGCAAUUUUGUCAUUAGUAACGUUUGCUAGUAUGCUUUCAAUACAUUCAUUGAUGGUGGCAGAAUUCUGUGUUGGGUUGAAAAUUAUUUUAAAUUGAGAAAAAUUACAGCAGAUUUAUACUAUUUCAAGGCUCUUCAUUUCUUCUUGAAAACAGAAAUAAAGGAUCAUUGUAGGGAGUAGUUUAUAGAAUUGAGGAGGAGAUUUUACAGUGAAGAGAGUUUAAUAUUUAUAAAAUGUGGGGAGAGUCAGCAGACAGAAGAGAUUAGAAAGAAGGAGGAAUAAAGGUAAAGAAAGAUCUAUAGGAGAUUAGGGAAUGUGGGAUCAGGUGUGCAGUAAAGGAGUUGACCUGGAAGAAAAGGAUACUUCCUCUGAGAUUAGAAGGAAGGAGGUGAAGACAAUUAAAUGUAUAACUUAUAAAUGUGGAGCAAGAAGGUUAGGAGGUAUGUAGCUUAUAGUUUUGAUUUUUUUUUUUCUGGUAAAGGAGACAUAAAAGAUAAGGGCAUAGGGGAAGUAGCAAGUUGGAGUUGAAAUAAGGUGGCAUAAAAUAUAUGUCCUAAGGAAUGGGAGAGGGAAUUAGCCAGGGGCAAGGUUAUUAGCAGGAGAGACUGAUGUAUCUGGGAAACUAAGCUAGAUAGGAAAAGAUAUGAAGCUAUGCUGGAGACAGUGGUCUGAAAAAAAGAAAAGGGAACGGUUGAGGAACAGAGGUUAAAAUAAGGUAAGAAAGCAAGUGUUUAGAGAGGAAGGGAGUGAAAAAAUUGGAAUGAUAGGUGGUGUGGUCACAGAUCAAGAAUAUUGGAGUCUAAGGUUGUGGAACAAUUUCUUGAUGAUCAGAAGGUUGAAGGUGUGGCUCUGGGUAUGGAUCACUGAAUGAAAUGGUUGUAAGCUGGUGGAGUCAGAAUUUAAGGUUGUUGUUGGAUAGGUUGUCCAUAUGGACACUGAACUGGCACAUGAUGGCAGGAAAUGCAGGGGAGACAGAUACUGAAAGCCAAGUGCCAAAGUCCACUAUAAAUAAGAGAGAGUGACUGGGCAAUAAAGUAAUGGGAAUGAAACAGAGGAAUAAAAAGUUUCCAAGAUUGUUCAUUAUAGCCUUUUUCUCUCUCACAAAUUAAGAGUCAUGAGGGCAAGGACUAUGUCUUACAUAAUAUUGCAAAUAUUUGUUGAUUAAUGGAUAAACAAAUGAUGACCUCAUCAUUUUGAACAAAUAUUCAUGUUGAAUUAGUAUUUUUGGAAACUUUGGGUUUUUCUUAUUACAAGCAGUUGAUACUAAAGAAUAUACAACAAGAUGAGCAAGAUGUAGAAAAAAAAUUAAUAAUCCAAAGCCAGAAAUAACCACUGUUAGCCCCUUUUAUUAAAUUUUCAUACCUGUUUGUUGUUUAUCCUGGCAAUAAAUAUUCAGCUAUAAUAUCCUUUAAUGGCUAAGUAAGUAUUCCACAUAAAAUAAGGAUAUACCAUAAUUUAAGUAGUAUCUUAUUUGGGGAUAUUAUAUGUGUUUUUUUCUCUGUUUUUAAAAGGGACAAUCUAACAGUUAAAUUUUUGCUUUAUUUCCUUAGGAUGCAGUCUUAGAAGUGGAUUUUCUGGUAGGGUCUUCAUAGCCAGCUUAUUUUUCUUUGUUUUAGGCCUAUUUCUAACAGACUUGUUAUGUGUAUUCUUAUUCAAUUCUGGAUUGGAUUCAGAAAAUUGGACAGUGUUGCAGGUACUGAAUGACGUGUUGCAGGUACUGAAUGACGUGUAGGCAUGCUGAUAUCCACAAAAGUAAGAACUGACUACACUUCAAGAAUGUUAAAGAAAGUCAUUCAGACAGAAUGGAAAUGAUACCGGAUGGAAAUACAGAUCUACACAGAGGAAUGAUGAGCACUGGAAAAGAAUGUAUCUUACAGGAGGAAGAUCUUUUUUCAGUUGACUCCAGUGCCUAGCAAAUGUUUGAUACACAAAAGAUGUUUAAUAAGAAUUUGGAUUGGUUCCUGGAAGUAGAACUACUAUAUCAAAGAUUUGGACAUUUUUAAGACCCCAGAAAGGUAAUAUAGUAAUAAAUGCGACUGUAAAUUUUAACACAUUCUUAGCUACACUAGUUAUUAACACUUGAAUUUUCAAUCUUUGUCAGUCUGAUAAUAGGGAGACUCAUUGUGUAAUUUGAUAAAAUUGCAUUUUUGCUCAUAUACUCAUAUUAAUAACCUAACUACCUCAAGGACUUAAUAUUCUUUGUCUUUUCCAUGAUGCUUACUCAGCUGGUGAAGAAAUGUAUUUUUUAUUGACUUUGGCAGUAUUUCUUUUAAAAUAAAUUAUAUUUUGAACACAUAGAAAGGUGAAGAAAAAUAGCAUAAGGAAGGAUCCAGAUUUAUUUUACUUAGUAAAAAAAGGUAAGAUUGUAUUUAAUUAUUAAUGUAGUGGUAAAUAGAACAUUAUUACUAGAAGCUAGCAAUAUCAUAUUUUAUUUAUUGAAUUUAUUUCUUUAUUGAAAUCAUACUGAAUUUAUUGCUUAAUGUGCCAUUUUCACUAUAGCACUUUCCAAAAUGCUUACUAAAUGCUUAGCUUAUAAGAUUAAGAAAAACAUUCACUAGAUAACUACUUUGAAAUAAUUGCCCCAACCCUGCUUUCAUUCACGAUGCCUAGAAACAGACUUGCCUACUUUAAUUUUCUUUCAUGUUGUUAUUACUAUGAAGUCAUUUUAUAGAUAGGGUAAUAAGCAUUCUGGCAUAAAGAAAAAUAGCAUCUGUACUACGAUAUGGCACAGUUUGGUUGGGGCUGUUCCUCCUUCAGAACUUCAUUACAUAAUUUGAAAGUGUUUACUUAAGCUCCUUUGGGCUGCCUCCAUGGUAGCUAUGAAGUCACAGAAUUAGGACCAGUUUGGGGCCAGAUAACAACGUCUGUUAGUUUAAUGUGAACACUGUGUCAAUUUUUUUUUUUUUUUUAUCAUUGCUGUAUAAGAAACUUUAAAAACAAAGAUAUACUUAAUUCAUUUCAUUUUUUAAAACAAGUAUGCUUCUUCAAAAAUCAUUAAUACACAAAACAAGGGAUUCAUAAAUGUAUGUUUGCUCAUUGUCUAGAUGUAUUUAUUUUAAAAUCUGUAUUCCAUACCAUGAAUUCACAGUAUGAUUUUGACUCAGUAUAAUUAUAAAUAAUUAUGCAAAAUUACCAAAAUGUGUAGAGGUAUUAGACAGCCUUUAGGAGAGUAUGAAUUAUUAAAAUUCUAUUUCUACACCAAGACCACUAUUUCUAUCUCUAAGUCAUAAAAGAAAUCUAAGAGAACAUCAUAGAUGUAUAAAUUAUAAUAAUAUCAGCUUUAGGAGAAUUUAAAAAGAUACCAGGUUAUAAGAAAAAAUUAUUUUCUCUUGAUUACUCAAAGAAAGGUAAUAUUUUCAGUUCCUGAGAGGGAGAACUCUUGCUCCUUGGCCAACCAGAUAACUAGGUGUAUUGGUUUUAAAGAAUAAUAUUGCAAUAUGCAUUGUAAACAUGGAAGAAGAAUCAUUUAAAUUUUGUAUUGUAAUAAUCAAAUGGUAUAUCACCUUCAAGGCAACGUGAAAAUUUUUUAUAAAAUACCUAAAAUCUCAACCAUCCCUUUAGAAUUACUGAGUUUUAUGAAUAAACAAGCCUAAGUCAAGAUCCUGUUAUCUAAAAGCAUAUAGACCUCUUAAAGAAAUGUCAUUUUGUUUUAAUUAUGUAACAUGAAUUUAUUAUAAAAUUACUUGUUGGAAUAAUCUCCGUAGCAUUUUGCUUUUUAACUAACUUUGAGAAGUUAAACUGAUGGCCUUGCCAAUGAUCUAGUGAGGUACAAAGUCAGGGAUAAUUCAGGGAAGAAACAGAAAAAACCUUUAGGACCUGAUCAUCACUCUGGAGGUAUAGCCACUCUAAGGGUCCUAUGUGGAUUGGGAGAGAGGGGUUUCUGUGUAUAGGUGGCCUGAUCUGGAGGGGGAGGAUGGUCAAGGGGGAGAAGAGGGAAAGAUUAUGAGACAAACUGCCUACUCAGAUUGGUUUAGGUUUAGCUUUGCUGUAACAAUGAAAUGUGGGUUUUUUUUAUUUGUUUAUUUAUUUUGAGAGAGAGAGAGCGAGUGCAUGUGCAUAUGGUAUGAUCAGGGAAGGGGCAGAGAGAGAGAGAGAAGCAGAGAUGGAAUCCCAGGCAGGUUCUGCAUUCUGAGCCUGGAGCCCAACAUGGGGCUCCAUCUCAUGAAGCAUGAGAUGAUGAUCUGAGUUGAAAUCAAGUCAGACACUUAACCCACUGAGCCACGCAGGUGCCCCUGAAACGUUUGGGUUUUUAUAUGUCAUUCUCAUAUCAAAAGAGGAUGAUUGUUUGGUUUCUUAUGUUUAAAUAUUUUUAAUAUACGAUACAUUGUUUAUAAAUCUGUUUAUUGGAAGUUAAUAUGUGUGGUGAUUUUAAACUAAAUAUUGCCAAUUCUUUGACACGCCUUCAUUAAAGGAUCAGAGUCUAAUUCCCCUGUCUAGAAUAUGGAUGGCCUUAGUGAUUUUUUUGCUAACAAACAUAAUGUGAUAGAUAUAAUGCUGCAUGACUAGUUAGGUCAUACAGCUUCAUCUGGCUCUCUGUCUUAGGACACUUGGAACCCAGGAACCCUGUUGUGAGAAAGCCAAAAACAGAAGGACAGGCCAUUGUGUAGGUGUUCUGACCUGAUAAUCCCAGCUAAGGUCCCAGUCAUCAGUGAGUACUAAUCACUAGACAUGCAAAUGAACAAAUCUUCAGAUGAUACAAACCUCUAGCCUAUGAGCUGCUCAAGAUGAGGCCAGGUGCAUUAGAAACAAUCUAUCCCUGCAGAGCACUACCCAGAUCACAUGUUCAUGAGAAUGCUGUUUUAAACCACUAAGUUUUGGGGUGGUUUGUUAAGCAUUUGAAUCCCUGUUUCUAGGGACUAGCUCUAGCUCAGGUUAGCUGUAACAAGUAGGAAGGAAAUGGAGGAAGCAAAAGAAAAUGUCCUCCCCCUCCCCCCCCCCCCCCACUUUUCCUCGUUUCCUUAGAUUGAAAAUCUUAGCACCUCCUAGUACUAAUUGUUGGCAAUUAAGUAUAGUUUUGAAGUGCCAUUAGGAACAAAAAACAUGAUAAUGGGGACCUGGUCUAUCUAUCUAAACUCUUCCUUGAAGGCUUAGUGUCUGAGCAGGAAAAAGAGAAAGCUUGAGUCUAUUUCUCCUUUUCUUCUCCCCUAAGUAUACCUAGUUUCAAAAAGGAGGGGAAAGCAAGAUUUAAUCAUUUCUUGCCCUCAUCUCUCUUCUGAAUUCAAAUCUUUUAAAGGUGAUUUUUUUUCCCCCCACUAAAUGACUACACAGACACUUCAAUCUUAUGAAGGGACCAAACCUACAACAUAUUUGCAUUCCUUAUCAAGGAAGCAGGAUUUACUGACCAAAGUGAUACACUAAGGACACCACUCUGUCUUCAGUCACUCAUCACUGUCCUUGAAAGGUUCCUCAGGCUCCUCCUUCUAAAUGUGGACACUCCCUAGGGUUCUCUUUUCAGACCUCUUCUCACUUGACACACUUUCUGGUCCGUCUUACACAUUCCCAUAACUUUAGUUACCACCUACAUUUUAAUGACUCUAGAGAGCCAGACUUUACUGCCAACCCUGAUGGGAUAGUUCCCUGAUAGCUGCAAUUCUACACGGACAAAACAGGGUUCCUCCUCCUGAACCUGAGGUCCACUCCUCCUCCUAGUCUACACACAAGAGCAGAAACCUGGGGAUCCCCUGUCUUUGCCCCACACAACCAGUUUUCCAUUCCACCAAUUCAUUACUUUUCUCGAAUCCCUCUUCUCUCUAGCCCCACUGUCAUUAGGUACACAGCAGUGGUCCCAAUCCAUUCUGACUCCCAUCACAGGCUGCUUUACAUUCCAUCUUCAAGUUCCAGCACCCCAACCAAUGUAAUCUUUUCACACCUGACCACGCACUCCCAUUAAAAUAUCCUAUCUUUGUUCUCCCUUUCCUAUAGGUAUUAAUCUUGAGACCCCAUAGUCCUUUACUCACAAACCCCUUGACAAUGUAUACAAAAUUGUAGUAUAGGUCUAUAGGUACGUUUUUAUGGAGAGAGGCCAUAUGCCUUUCCAUAGGUUCUCAAAAGGAUAUGUGUCUGCAAAAAGGUUAAAAACUUGAAGGUCUCAGGCUAAAGUCUGAACUCCUGGUCUUUGUUCAGCUUCCUUUCUCAUGCCGUCUUCCUUCGCCUCUUGUCCCAUGCUUCUCCCUCUAUAGUUCCAGGCCUUUGUACAUGCUGCUUCACUUGCUCACCUUGGGAAGCCCUUUCCUUUCGUAGCUGGCCUAACUUUUGCCAUCCAUGAAACCACCUUCUUUCUUUUGAGAAACAUCUCAGGUCACACUACCUACAGAAAACUGUGCAGGGAGGGCUAGCCCAGCUGGGAGUCAACUGUUGGCUCCCUGAAGCCAGCCUAGCAAUUACUCUUUUUUAGCAUUUACCCCCUGGAUUUCCAAACCGGAAAGAUGGUGGUGGGAGUGGGGAGGGGGGGGUGGUGAGGGGAGAGGGAGAAAAAAAAAUAAAACCUAUAAAGCCUGUAAAACAAGCAAUGACUGAUAAUUGUUUCUGCAGCACUUAUACACUGUAGAAGAAUGCCAGGCUGUAAUAUACAUUUUUAUAGUACUUUCUGGGGAGGAAGAAAUUGGGUGGCAAAUAUGUAAUUUAUAUUUGCCAGCAGUUUUGGUGAUAAAUACCACACACACUUUCCUGUUCCAGAAUAUUGUACAGGAAUUUUCAACAUCAUCCAGUUUUCCUUUAUUUUAUACCUACACACCUCAUGGUGUUACUUAUUUAAUAAAUCCUUUAACAAUGCA
Molecule: long non-coding RNA, 7570 nt
Organism: Leopardus geoffroyi (Geoffroy's cat)
Lineage: Eukaryota; Metazoa; Chordata; Mammalia; Carnivora; Felidae
Exons: 4
Source: RefSeq, a predicted model, not a curated record